AUAGUUGAUUUCGACUCAACAGACUUGGAACCAGGCCUCCAAACACCUAC
This 50-nucleotide transfer RNA is filed under the name Holbrookia lacerata. RNAcentral describes it as "tRNA-Arg". Lineage: Eukaryota; Metazoa; Chordata; Lepidosauria; Squamata; Phrynosomatidae. The record is from RNAcentral.